UUUAGGUUUAGGUUUAGGUUAGGGAGUUGAGAUUAGGAUUUGGUGUAGGUUUAGGUUUAGGAAUUUGAGAAUUGGUUAAGGUUUAGGUUUAGGAAAUCGGGUUCGGGUUCGGAAUCGUGUUUAGGCUUGGGUUUUCAAGUUUAGUUUUAGGUUUAGGUUAGGGAGUUGAGAAUGGGAUUUGGUGUAGGUUUAGGUUUAGGGAUUUGAGAAUAGGUUAAGGUUUAGGUUUAGGAAAUCGGGUUCGGGUUCAGGUUCGGGAUCAGGUUUAGGUUUAGGCUUAGGUUUUCAAGUUUAGGUUUAGGUUUAGGUUAGGGAGUUGAGAUUGGGAUUUGGUGUAGGUGUAGGUUUAGGUUUAGGGAUUUGAGAAUACAUUUAGGUUUAGGUUUAGGUUUAGGUUGUAGCUUAUAGGUUUAGGUUAUAGGUUUAGGUUUUGGUUUUAGGUUUAGGUUAUAAGUUAUAGGUUAUAGGUUAUAGGUUAUAGGUUAAGGUUUAGGUUAUAGGUUUUGGUUUAGGUUAAGGUUUAGGUUUUGGGUGUAGUUUUUGGUUAUAGGUUUAGGUUAGGUUUAGGUUUAGGUUAUAGGUUAUAGCUUUGGGAAUUGAGAAUAGGUUAAGGUUUAGGUUUUGGAAAUCGGGUUCGGGUUCGGUAUCGGGUUUAGGCUUGGGUUUUCAAGUUUAGGUUUAGGUUUAGGUUAGGG
Molecule: long non-coding RNA, 695 nt
Organism: Magnolia sinica
Lineage: Eukaryota; Viridiplantae; Streptophyta; Magnoliopsida; Magnoliales; Magnoliaceae
Exons: 3
Source: RefSeq, a predicted model, not a curated record